UACGAGGGAUCCUAGCGUUGUUCGGAAUCAUUGGGCGUAAAGGGUGUGUAGGCGGCCAUGUAAGUCAGUUGUGAAAGCCCCGGGCUCAACCCGGGAAGUGCUUCUGAUACUGCUUGGCUUGAGUAUUGGAGAGGUGAGUGGAAUUCCAGGUGUAGUGGUGAAAUACGUAGAUAUCUGGAGGAACACCUGUGGCGAAAGCGGCUCACUGGACCACAACUGACGCUGAGGCACGAAAGCUAGGGGAGCAAACAGG
Molecule: ribosomal RNA, 253 nt
Filed under: uncultured prokaryote
Description: partial 16S ribosomal RNA
Rfam family: Bacterial small subunit ribosomal RNA
Source: RNAcentral